GCUUGUCUCAAAGAUUAAGCCAUGCACGUCUGAGAAUAAAGAGUUUUCUCUGAAUCUGCGAAUGGCUCAUUAUAUCAGUUAUAGUUUAUUUGAUAGUCCUUUACUACUUGGAUAACCGUAGUAAUUCUAGAGCUAAUACGUGCGUAAAUCCCGACUCCUGGAAGGGACGUAUUUAUUAGAUUUAAGGCCAACCGAGCUUGCUCGUCUCUUGGUGAAUCAUGAUAACUUCACGAAUCGCAUGGCCUCGCGCCGGCGAUAUUUCAUUCAAAUUUCUGCCCUAUCAAUUGGCGAUGGUAGGAUAGAGGCCUACCAUGGUGUUAACGGGUGACGGGGGAUUAGGGUUCGAUUCCGGAGAGGCAGCCUGAGAAACGGCUACCACAUCCAAGGAAGGCAGCAGG
This 398-nucleotide ribosomal RNA is filed under the name Tetraselmis cordiformis. RNAcentral's name for it is "partial small subunit ribosomal RNA". It matches the Rfam family "Eukaryotic small subunit ribosomal RNA", at positions 30 to 432 of the family's 1831-position model. Lineage: Eukaryota; Viridiplantae; Chlorophyta; Chlorodendrophyceae; Chlorodendrales; Chlorodendraceae. The record is from RNAcentral.